UGUCUUAGUUAACACUGUUACAAUAUCUUGCAGAUAUUCACUUCUAACUCUAGCAUUAGAGGCCAUUUGUCACCCAAUCUACCCAUUCCGAUGGCAGACUUGGCUGACAAGGACAUGAAGCAAUUUAAUACUCUAUUUAAUGAGGUAAUUCAACUUACUUAACGUGGAUCUUGAGAUGAUGAUUAUUGGGUCAUUCAAUUUUGUUUUUAUAACUUAAGCUAGUUAUAGAGUGCAGUGGCUAUGUGUUUUGCAAUAUUA
Trifolium pratense (red clover) is the source of this 258-nucleotide long non-coding RNA. RefSeq lists it as uncharacterized. Lineage: Eukaryota; Viridiplantae; Streptophyta; Magnoliopsida; Fabales; Fabaceae. The transcript has 3 exons. The record is from RefSeq and is a predicted model, not a curated record.